Molecule: long non-coding RNA, 1901 nt
Filed under: Mus musculus (house mouse)
Lineage: Eukaryota; Metazoa; Chordata; Mammalia; Rodentia; Muridae
Description: long non-coding RNA chr14:43254604-43256505
Source: RNAcentral
AGACAGCAGUGUUUGUGUGAGUGGGGAACUCUCAUAGAUGCAGAUGGAGGGGGCAUGAGAUAAAAGGUUUUGAACCGGAAACUAGGAAACAGGAUAAAAUUUAAAGUGUAAGCUUAAAAUAUUUUAAAAUAGAAAAAAAAAAAAGAGAAUUGAAGACCCAGAAAUUUAACCACACAUAUGGACACAUGGUCUUUGACAAAGAAGCCAAAAAUAUACAAUGGAAAAAAGAAAGCAUCUUCAAUAAAUUGUGCUGAUCCUACUGGCAGUAUGUAGGUAUGUAGAAAAAUGAAAGUAGAUCCAUAUUUGUCACGAGGAAUAAAACUCAAGUCCAAGUGGAUCAAACACUUAACAUAAAACCAGAUUCACUGAAUCUAAUUGAAGAGAAAUUGAGAAAGAGCUUCAAACUCACAGGAAUAUGGGCAAAUUUUCUAAGUACGCUCCGAUGACUCAGGUUCUAACAUCAAAAACUGAUAAAUGGGACCUCAUGAAACUGAAAAACUUAUGUAAGGCAAAGGGCAUAGCCAGUAGGACAAAUUGGUAACCUACAUAUUGGGAAAAAUUUUCACUAACCUUACAUUCCAAAAUAUCUAAAGAACUCAAAUAGCUAAACACCAAAAAGAAAAGAACCCAGUCUGAAAAUGUCAUAAGGAACUGUAGAAAAAAUUCACAACGAGGAACCUUGAAUGGCUGAGAAGCACUUAAAGAAAUGUGGAAAGUCCUUAGUCUUCAGGGAAAUGAAAACCAAAGCGACUGAGAUUGGUAUAAGGCCGUAUAAUUUCCAAUAAAGAAUGGCCAAGAUCAAAAACUGGUAAAAGCACAUGCUGGUGAGAAUGUGAGAAAAGAGAAACAAAACUUCAUUUCUGGUGGGAGUGCAAAGUGCUAUGAUAUCUAUGGAAAUCAAUCUGGAGGUUCCUCAGAAAGUUGGAAAUAGAUCUGCCUGAAGGCCAAAGACUUACCUUCGUGGCCUAUGGCUUCCUAAUUUCAUGUUUCACCCAAUGGCUUAUUAUUUAGAUCUUCCUACUGGGCUUCGACUUUGAUCUUGGUAAGCAUUUGGUCUCUUUGAUUCUCAAACAGUUCUCUGUCCUCACACAGUUUUGAGGUACCGCCAGCCCCAGGGACAUAUUUUUUUCCUUCAAAUUUCUCCAAAUCUGGGGACUUCUAAUAUUUGGGGAACUGAGUGACAAAAGCAAUGUAUGUUGAGCACUUUAGUACCCAGUGUGUAUGAAACUAUGUGUGUUUAGAUAUGGUAAACCUCUAGAACAUACUUUAUUAAAGAAGCAGUAUGCUCUUAGGUUCCCUCUUUGACCUCACUUAACUUUGCCAGCUUUGUGGGCUGCUGUACUGCUGCUCGGAGAACAAUUGGAAACUCCUGGAAUAGAUGCCUCAUGUCUCAUUGCCUUUGCCAGGCUUAGGACACUAGUGGGAGUAGGUUUGAUGGGACAUUAACAAAACCAGGGCUUCUUGUGAACCAUCUGAAUGCAGCACCAUGUUCCAGGACAGUUCUGUAUGAACUUCUCAUAUCCAGGAAAUGGAGCAAGAGGAAAGCCAAGCAGAAGGCAUCCAUUUCCAGCACCCUCAACACCUUUUCACAGGACGGGGUAAGUUGACUUUGGUAGAAGAAGAGAUGUCCUGAGAUAGUUGCCCCUCAUCUGAUCAGAGAAUAAGAGUUCAUGAAUUUUGGGGAAACAUUGUGAUUGUGGGGUUGCAGUAAGCAUCAUGUAAUGUGAAUGAGCAAAAACUAUUUUAAUACUAAAACAAAAUUAAAGUAUUAUCAAAAUGGGGCAAAAUAUAUUGUUUUACUAACUCUAGUAUGUAUACACUGGCAAACAUUUUAACAUCUAGAAUGGCUAGAUGUUGUAUAGUAGGGUGACUUUGUCAUUGACACAUACUGUGUACAUAGC